This 440-nucleotide ribosomal RNA is filed under the name uncultured bacterium. Its description in RNAcentral is "partial 16S ribosomal RNA". It matches the Rfam family "Bacterial small subunit ribosomal RNA", at positions 338 to 795 of the family's 1533-position model. The record is from RNAcentral.
CCUACGGGAGGCAGCAGUGGGGAAUAUUGCACAAUGGGGGAAACCCUGAUGCAGCGACGCCGCGUGAGUGAAGAAGUAAUUCGUUAUGUAAAGCUCUAUCAGCAGGGAAGAAAAUGACGGUACCUGAGUAAGAGGCCCCGGCUAACUACGUGCCAGCAGCCGCGGUAAUACGUAGGGGGCAAGCGUUAUCCGGAUUUACUGGGUGUAAAGUGAGCGUAGACGGCAGUGCAAGUCUGGAGUGAAAGGCGGGGGCUCAACCCCCGGACUGCUCUGGAAACUGGACGGCUGGAGUGCAGGAGAGGUAAGUGGAAUGCCUGGUGUAGCGGUGAAAUGCGUAGAUAUUAGGAGGAACACCAGUGGCGAAGGCGGCUUACUGGACUGUAACUGACGUUGAGGAUCGAAAGCGUGGGGAGCAAACAGGAUUAGAUACCCGAGUAGUC